UCCGCCGUCGCCGGAGUCGCCUCGUCCCGGAUCCGGCCGGGCUGUACCAGAUCCACCAGCCCGCCGAUCCAAACGGCCGCCUCGUCCCACACCACUCCGUCCCGGAUCCCGCCGUCCCGUUGACUUUUUCCGAGAGGGGUAUAUUUUCUAAGUCUCGAAAUUGUUGCAUUAUGUUGCCCUGUUCAUCAUGCCAUAACUUCGUGCUUGGUGCUCCGAUUCAUGCAUAUAAUAUAUUGAAAUGUUCAUUGUGAGAUGCUCUUCAUUUUGUUCCACUGUUCCAUGCUUGUUUGAGUCCAUCUUGAUGCCCUAAUCAUCGUUGCAAGACUGCUAUGUGAUGUUGUCUGCUGUAGUUUAACAGAUCUUGCUCAUUUAUCAUUUUUGUAUCUUUUUGUGUAAUUUUCUUUUGAGCAUGAUGUCUACAUGUGUUAUGGGAUACGAUAUUCCAUAUUUGCUGUGGUGCAAUCUACUCUUCAUGAUAUACCAUGUAUUGAUUGUUACAAGCUUGCAAAGUAGCCUUCGUGAUGUUGCUGAUUUCUGUGACUUAGUCAUUUCUGCUAAGUCUGUAGCUGUAACAUUGUGAUGCCAUGUUAACCUGCUGUCACCAUGAGUUCUAUGCAUAAUCUGGAGAUGUUCACUAAUGAUGUUUUGUUCACAUGUUAUGCGCUAUCCAUCCAUGCCCUUUUUUUGCAUUUAUAGCCUGCUGUAGCUUGUUGUUACCUUGCUCUCAAUUUGCUAAAUAAUGUUGUUGUCAGCCUGUUAACAUGAAGUUCAGUUUUGACAUGUGUUUUGCUAGUGAUACAUGCAUCCUAUGAACUUGAUCUUGCCAUUCUUAGGUUCAUAAUUAUGCCAUCUUACUGUUGGAUGCUUUCACAUGCCAUGAAAUGUUUUGUGAUGAGUGAUUUGAGCUCGCAAAGAUGUCUUCAUAAUUCUGUUUAUGCCAUGCUCAGUUUUGAAACUUGCUAUGUUUACAUGGGUUCCAUCAUAUCUUCUGUGCCAUUUUGGCUCGUGAUCAGUAAGGGACUUUUGUUCUAUGCAAUUAGUAUAUUCAUGCCAUGCCUUUGGUUGCUAUGAUCUGUUCCUGUAGCCUGUUGUUUGCUAGGUCUAAACUUAGCAACCUGAUGUUAUUUCUGCCAUGCCCAGAGUUUUUCUGCUAAGUCUGUGAACUGUUAUUAUUCGCAAUCUUGCCAUGUCCUUUUGAGCAUGUUAUAGUGUUUUCUGGAGAUAGAUCAUUGUUCAUGUUUUCUCAUGCUUUACCGGUACAUCAUGUCCAUGCCUUUUGUUUUCAUGUUGAGGUGCUGUAACAUAUUGUUUUGAUGCUUGCAAGAUACCUAGUUGCUGUUUUGGACAGAUUGUUGCUAUAUCUUGUUUGGUGUGUAUGUGUUGAACCGUUGCUCCGUUUUGAGUGUGCUCUAUAUGAAACUUGGUUAGAAUUGCAUGUAGUAUCAUAUUAUCAUGUUGCAUCCAUGUUUUGAGUGUGUUUGCUUGAUGUUUGAAUGCAUUUUGCAUCAAUGCCAUGUUUAAUUUGUUUUGCUCAUAUCUUCUAGGCCGUAGCUCAGAACUAAAUGAACUUUAUAUGUAACUUGACUAGAAUUUCGUGUAGAUCAUCUUGGUGCAUUUUAACUUGCUGUUUAACAACUUGAACAUAAGGUUUAUUCAGAUCUGGAUCAAUUUCGAAAUUUGCAUAUGGGGACUUACCGGAAUUGUCAUAUGUUGUUUCCGGCCUCAUUUAAACUUGCUUUGAUGUGUUGCUCUUGUAUGCAUCAUCUCUUGCCAUGAGUAGAUUCAUGUAGCUUAGUCAUGCAUCCGGCUUGGUUGAGCAUCAUGCCUUGUUCAUGUGUGGUGUGUUUACCAUGUUGUGUGCUUCUUCUCGAUAGUUCCCGUUUCGUUGCGAUCGUGAGGAUUCGUUCGUCUACGCUUGGUUCGUCUUCGUGGCUUCAUCUUCUUCAUGGACUCGUUCUUCUUGGUAGAGGGAUUUCAGGCAAGAUGACCGUAACCUUGGAUCUCAUUACUAUCAUUGCUAUGCUAGUUGCUUCGUUCUAUCGCUAUGCUGCGCUACCUAUCACUUGCUCUUCAAGCCUCCCAAAUUGCCAUGUCAGCCUCUAACCUUUUUCACCCUUCCUAGCAAACCGUUGUUUGGCUCUUUUACCGCUUUGCUCAGCCCCUCUUAUAGCGUUGCUAGUUGCAGGUGAAGAUGAAGAUUGCUCCAUGUUGGAUUAUGUUUAUGUUGGGACAUCACAAUAUCUCUUAUAUAAUUAAUGCAACUAUAUACUUGGUAAAGGGUGGAAGGCUCGGCCUUAUGCCUGGUGUUUUGUUCCACUCUUGCCGCCCUAGUUUCUGUCAUACCGGUGUUAUGUUCCUCGAUUUUGCGUUCCUAACGUGGUUGGGUGUUAUGGGGACCCCUUAACAGUUCGCUUUGAAUAAAACUCCUCCAGCAAGGCCCAACCUUGGUUUUACCAUUUGCCUACCUAAGACUUUUUCCCUUGGGAGUCGCGCUCCCGAGGGUCAUCUUUAUUUUACCCCCCCCCCCCGGGCCAGUGCUCCUCUGAGUGUUGGUCCAAACUAGAGCCCUUUGCAGCGCCACCUUGGGGAAACUUGAGGCCUAGUUUUACUUGUACGGAUUGCUCAUCCGGUGUGCCCUGAGAACGAGAUAUGUGUAGCUCCUAUCAGGAUUUGUCGGCACAUUCGGGCGGCUUUGCUGGUCUUGUUUUACCAUUGUCGAAAUGUCUUGUAAACCGGGAUUUCGAGACUGAUCGGGUCUUCCCGGGAGAAGGAAUAUCCUUCGUUGACCGUGAGAGCUUAUAAUGGGCUAAGUUGGGACACCCCUGCAGGGUAUAAACUUUCAAGAGCCAUGCCCGCGGUUAUGUGGCAGAUGGGAAUUUGUUAAUGUCCGGUUGUAGAGAACUUGACACUUGACUUAACUAAAACGCAUCAACCGCGUGUGUAGCCGUGAUGGUCUCUUUUCGGCGGAGUCCGGGAAGUGAACAUGGUUUCUGGGUUAUGUUUGACGUAAGUAGGAGUUCAGGAUCACUUUUGAUCAUUGCUAGCUUCACGACCAUUCCGUUGCUCCUCUUCUCGCUCUUAUUUGCGUAUGUUAGCUCCCAUACUUGCUUAGUCGCUGCUGCAACCUCACCACUUUACCCUUUCCUUACCCAUUAAGCUUUGCUAGUCUUGAUACCCAUGGUAAUGGGAUUGCUGAGUCCUCGUGGCUCACAGAUUACUACAACACCAGUUGCAGGUACAGGUUUUACGAUGAUCAUGACGCGAGAGCGAUGUUUCUUGUUUUGGAGUUUUUCUUCUGCUUCUUCUUCGAUCAGAGGAUAGGUUCCAGGUCGGCAGCCUGGGCUAGCAGGGUGGAUGUCGUUUGAGCUUCUGUUUAUGUUUCAUCCGUAGUCGGAUGUUGUUCUCAUGUAUAUUGAUGUAUUCUUGCAGCAUUUGUAUGCCUUGUAUGUAUCCCCAUCUUUUAUGUAAUGUUGAUGUAACGAUAUCCACCUUGCAAAAGCGUCUUCAAGAUGCGCUUCUAUCCUUGGUGGGACCUUCGAGUUCCUUUAGGAUAGGGUCGCAUCUUGGGCGUGACAUCCACCCUUGCCGCUGUUUUAUCUACUACAGGCUGAAACUCAGCGAUUUGAAGGGCUCUUGCUGAGAUUGGCAUACCUAAAUAUUUUAAGGGGAUAGACCCCAGCUCGCAGUUCAUCAUAUGCGCCGCCCUAAGUUGGGAUUCCAAGUUCCCACCUGUGACAAAGGCUUCGCUCUUGUCAAAAUUAAUUUUGAGGCCCGACAUCCUCGAAGCACACAAGCAGGAACUUUAGGUUAAUAAUCUCCCUCUCAGAGUUUUUAAUAAAGAU
This 3842-nucleotide long non-coding RNA is filed under the name Triticum aestivum (bread wheat). Its description in RNAcentral is "long non-coding RNA (TAES_LNC018140)". Lineage: Eukaryota; Viridiplantae; Streptophyta; Magnoliopsida; Poales; Poaceae. The record is from RNAcentral.